RNAcentral lists this long non-coding RNA (334 nucleotides) under Chinchilla lanigera (long-tailed chinchilla). RNAcentral's name for it is "lncRNA (ENSCLAG00000025974.1)". The record is from RNAcentral. Lineage: Eukaryota; Metazoa; Chordata; Mammalia; Rodentia; Chinchillidae.
UUCUUGUACUCCACAGAUACCUGUCUGGGACUGGCUGUCUGUGCCAUGAGCUCUUGGAUCUAACUGCUGGCUUCGAGGUGGUUUAUAAAUUCAUGUUUUACAGACUUCUUUCAUUGAGCAAACCUGCAAAAUGAGACAAUGAACAAUCUCCUGAGAUGACUUAUUGUGAGGAUAAAGGAAAGAAUGCAAGGAGGCUCUUUCCACACAGCGCCUCCGUGGUUUGGAAUGAAACAGAGAGCUUGCCUUUGUUCCACUUCUCAGCUUCGACACAGAGACGCCCUUAGGAUGCAGUUAUCUUGUAACUUCUCCAAGAAAAAAUAAAAACAAGCCCACU